GAUGAAGAACGUAGCGAAAUGCGAUACGUAAUGUGAAUUGCAAAUUCAGUGAAUCAUCGAGUCUUUGAACGCACAUUGCGCCCCCUGGUAUUCCGGGGGGCAUGCCUGUCCGAGCGUCAUUGCUGCCCUCAAGCACGGCUUGUGUGUUGGGCCCCGUCCUCCGAUUCCGGGGGACGGGCCCGAAAGGCAGCGGCGGCACCGCGUCCGGUCCUCGAGCGUAUGGGACUUUGUCACCCGCUCUGUAGGCCCGGCCGGCGCUUGCCGAUCAACCCAAAUUUUUAUCCAGGUUGACCUCGGAUCAGGUAGGGAUACCCGCUGAACUUAAGCAUAUCAAUAAGCGGAGGA
Molecule: unclassified non-coding RNA, 345 nt
Filed under: soil metagenome
Description: partial contains 5.8S ribosomal RNA, internal transcribed spacer 2, and large subunit ribosomal RNA
Rfam family: 5.8S ribosomal RNA (bases 1-119)
Source: RNAcentral